UUUUUUAAUAGAAUAUGUUCUUAUCUUUCGUAAAACAUGGACCCACCCGACACUUGGACUGGACAAUGGACUACUAAAUCAAUACAGUCAGACUCAGUUCCAGACACCUGGGGGCUGAUGGAGGGCCUCUGUGGAGCCAGCUGUCACAGAGGAAGACCUGGGAGGAGCCUUGCCUUCAGAGAUAUAACCCCGUCUGUCACAGAGGACAAAUCAACCAACCCUACCAUCCUGAUGGAGAAGGGGUUUGUGCUUUGCCUCAGAAAACAGAGGAAGGCAAUGAGGCCCCUCAAAUGGUCCUGUUUUCUGCAAACAAGACAAAACAAGGAAAUGAGCUAUCAUCCCUGCCUUUCAGUGCAGCACGUCCGCUGUCCUCUUGACAGGAUAUUUAUUGAGCAAAAAAAGUAACUUAUUUCACAGAAUGAAGGAUUAUCAAUGUCAUGUGCAUGCAAAGACAAACUUGUCCUCUGAAAUGUCACCUGG
Long non-coding RNA from Cyanistes caeruleus (blue tit), 480 nucleotides. Lineage: Eukaryota; Metazoa; Chordata; Aves; Passeriformes; Paridae. The record is from Ensembl.